Molecule: long non-coding RNA, 562 nt
Organism: Ictalurus punctatus (channel catfish)
Lineage: Eukaryota; Metazoa; Chordata; Actinopteri; Siluriformes; Ictaluridae
Source: Ensembl
GUGUAUCUUUUAUGGUUGUGUUUAACGCUCAACUUGUCUAGCGUGUGUUCGAGAGUUCCUGAUUGUUGGUUCAUUAGUGAUAAAAAUGGCUUCUGAAGAAGUGUCAUGGGAGAGCAUACGGCAGAGGAAACCCUGGACAAGGUGCCAACCCGUCGCAGGACGCUUUAGAGAUGCCAAUCAGCCUACACCAUGUCUCUGGACAGGGGGAGGAAACCGGAGUACCUGGAGGAAACUCCGGAUGCACAGGGAGCAUGCAAACUCCAUCAUUUUUGAGAACAAGCGGCGUGUGCUGCAAGUGGCGGUGGAGGAGAUGAUUGUUUUGCUACACCUGUCCAAACGGAUAAAACUCUGUGUGUGGCUUCUGUGGAGCAGUGAGAGAUCUGCCUGCUGGAGAUGAAAGAGGAGAUGCAGGUUAUCACUUUCUGGCCAGUGGUAUACGUGAGGGGAGGGGCAAGCAAGGCACACACAGCGAAGGACCCGGAGACAUGGACAUGCAAAUUAUCCUGCAGCUGGGCCAUGAACAUGAGCGAGAAGAAAAGGACGUUCUGAUCAAAGUUAAAAG